Molecule: non-coding RNA, 562 nt
Organism: Pantherophis guttatus
Lineage: Eukaryota; Metazoa; Chordata; Lepidosauria; Squamata; Colubridae
Source: RefSeq, a predicted model, not a curated record
AAUCUAUCGAUAAGAGGCAGAUGAGAAUUGUGAUUAUUUAAAUAUCUUACAGAGUGCAACACACAUCCAAACACCCUUCUACCAAGUAAUUCUCAGAAAAUUACAGAUGGCAAUAGACCACCUUCAAACAGUAUGGUGUUUCUAUUUUUACAACACUCCUCCCACCUGGAAGUACAGCCCUAUUUGAAAUACUCCAGAGAGGACAAAUUUUUGUCCUUCAAAAACAAUUGUCACUGCACUUUUCUUCACAACAGCUAUCAAGUUCCAGACAAGCUGAAAUAUAUUUGUUCUUGAAAGAAAGGUACUUACAAUCUGUGAUUAAUCAAAAGCAGAGAAGAAUUGGAGAGCUUCUAAACUCCUCAACCUGGCUGUACAAAAAGAGAGAAGUAAUACUUGAAAUCCAACUCCCAUUGCUUUGACAAUGCAUUCAAAGGUUCCAGCAAAGACUUGCAAGAUGUUUAUGCAUUCAGCUAUCAAGUUAUCUCCAGAAAAAUAAAAAGUACACAAAUGGAGUUGCUAUUAUUGAUUUUUAUAACCACACAGGAAUUAGGGAUAAACAAAG